UGAUACCACCCGUUAACUGCAGCGAUAAUACUUGUUCCCUUCGGGGUGGUAGUAGUAUUUGUGCUGAAACCUAGCUAUUGUAACUCAGUUUCUCUGGGUAUAGCAAUAUAUUCAGGGGAGCUGGGCAUCGACCGCUAGCAGGUGCCCGCAAGGGCGCGGGAAAGUGAGCUAACAAGGUUUUCAUAAGGCCUUUCAGGUUUGCUUUUUCUAGUGGCCAGGCAGAGGUGUUUCUUACCUAUCAGCUCGUUGUUUGUUUAAAGGACAAACAAGGCUUUGACGGGUACGGGGAAUCAGUGUUCGAUUCCGGAGAGGGAGCCUGAGAGAUCGCUACCACAUCUAAGGACGGCAGCAGGCGCGCAAAUUACCCAAUCCCAACACGGGGAGGUAGUGACAAGAUAUAGUGUCUCAUCACCUUCGGUGGUGAGGUAUUAUCAUUUGAUAAUUUUCCAUGAUUUGGGUGUAGAUAACCCUAGAGCAGCCAUGAGAAUCGGU
Molecule: ribosomal RNA, 492 nt
Filed under: Naegleria fowleri
Lineage: Eukaryota; Heterolobosea; Eutetramitea; Acrasida; Naegleriidae
Description: SSU rRNA
Rfam family: Eukaryotic small subunit ribosomal RNA
Source: RNAcentral